Molecule: ribosomal RNA, 117 nt
Filed under: Actinomycetota bacterium
Lineage: Bacteria; Bacillati; Actinomycetota
Source: RNAcentral
UCUGGUGACCAUAGCGACGGGGUCACACCCGUUCCCAUUUCGAACACGGCAGUUAAGCCCGUCAGCGCCGAUGGUACUUGGAGGUAGACCUCCUGGGAGAGUAGGUCGUCGCCAGAU